UACGGAGGAUCCGAGCGUUAUCCGGAAUCACUGGGUGUAAAGGGAGCGUAGACGGCUGAGCAAGCCUGAAGUGAAAGGCGGGGGCCCAACCCCCGGACUGCUCUGGAAACUAUGUGACUGGAGUGCAGGAGAGGUGAGCGGAAUUCCUAGUGUAGCGGUGAAAUGCGUAGAUAUUAGGAGGAACACCAGUGGCGAAGGCGGCUCACUGGACUGUAACUGACGUUGAGGCUCGAAAGCGUGGGGAGCAAACAGG
RNAcentral lists this ribosomal RNA (253 nucleotides) under uncultured Eubacteriales bacterium. RNAcentral describes it as "uncultured Clostridiales bacterium partial 16S ribosomal RNA". It matches the Rfam family "Bacterial small subunit ribosomal RNA", at positions 524 to 776 of the family's 1533-position model. The record is from RNAcentral. Lineage: Bacteria; Bacillati; Bacillota; Clostridia; Eubacteriales.